GGUUGGGGUUGUGUUCUAGCUCAAAGGGAUUAUAUCGGAGAAAAUAGCUAAAAUCACGUUGAAAGUCACCCAUUUUAAUCCAUUAAUAUUGUAAUAUCGUUUUUGUAAAAGUAAAGUAUACGGAUAGUCCCUGUGGUUUACCAAAAGUAUACUAAUGGUCCUGGUGGUUUGCACUUUAUAACACAUUUAGUCCCCAACUUUGCCAAAAGUCACACGGAUGGUCCCUGUGGAACCAAAUCCAAAAUUUUGGUAAACCACAGGGACCAUCCGUAUACUUUACUCUUUUUAUAAUUUUAAUUAGAGUAAACUACACGUAUUGUCCUUUAUGUUAAUACCAUUUUUCAGGCGGUGUCCAUUGGCGAUAAAACUGACGAGUUUUGUACUUAACGUUUCAAAAUCUUGCACGUUUUGUCCUUUGGCCCUAACCCAGUUAAAUUUUUUGGUUAAAUCUGAUCACUCAAGGGUAUUAUAGUCUUUAAAGGUGUGAAACAUCAUAAUAUUGGACUUACUUGGCCACCUUCUUGC
RNAcentral lists this long non-coding RNA (525 nucleotides) under Helianthus annuus (common sunflower). RNAcentral's name for it is "sRNA HanXRQr2_Chr08g0345351". Lineage: Eukaryota; Viridiplantae; Streptophyta; Magnoliopsida; Asterales; Asteraceae. The record is from RNAcentral.